CUUUUUAUUUUAUUUUUCUCCCU
RNAcentral lists this small RNA (23 nucleotides) under Arabidopsis thaliana (thale cress). RNAcentral's name for it is "ATSL010420". The record is from RNAcentral. Lineage: Eukaryota; Viridiplantae; Streptophyta; Magnoliopsida; Brassicales; Brassicaceae.